UCCUGUAUCGAAAAUGAUCAUGGCGUGUGUGUCGCCAGGUUAUUGAUAAAACAGGAAGAGAAAACUGCGAGCCUUUCCCGUGUCUGCAGGACCACCACUUCCUGUUUGACCCUGGCGCUUGCAGACA
Molecule: small nucleolar RNA, 127 nt
Organism: Nerophis lumbriciformis (worm pipefish)
Lineage: Eukaryota; Metazoa; Chordata; Actinopteri; Syngnathiformes; Syngnathidae
Product: small nucleolar RNA SNORA71
Source: RefSeq, a predicted model, not a curated record